RNAcentral lists this long non-coding RNA (1282 nucleotides) under Marmota monax (woodchuck). Lineage: Eukaryota; Metazoa; Chordata; Mammalia; Rodentia; Sciuridae. The record is from RNAcentral.
CGGGCGGGGGCGCAGGCCUCGCUGGGCGGGGAGCCGCGAGCAGAGUCGUGGGUCCGUCCCGCGCUUGGCUUCCGCGCGCUGCCUCCCUGCGCGGAGGCUCUGGGCUCCCCCUAAGCUAUCAAACGCGAACAGUUGGCGCUGAAAACACUUUACUCCUCCUCCUCCUCCCCCGAGACCCUUAUACCUCCCCGUGCGCCAUCUCCCGCUCCCGGAACAGGCCGAAGAGUAAACCCCCAAACGCGACGAGAAGCGGCACCCAACUCUUCACCCGGAGCAGGUUGGAGGCUGGAUUUCGCAGAGACUCAGGACUGGGAUCCGUUGCCAGUCCCUCUGGAUCCGGCUUGAUUUUCAUAUUUAAAAAGAGGAUUUUCUUAUUACCUUUGAACACUCAUUUUUAUACAAUUUCUGGAGGAGCUCAGGGGGAACGAUUUUAGGAGAUCUUAUUUUAACAACAACAAAAGCACUGAAGGAGCAUUUAUUAAUUUUCCUUGGGAUUUGGAGUCCCCCUCUGGACGAGAGACCGAGUAAGCGAGCUGGGGGUGGGAAGAAGAGUGCAGAGGACCGGCGAGGCGCGCCAGCCUGAACCACCUCCUUCUCGGCCGCCCCCUCCCCACUCCCCCGACACGCUCGCUCGCCGGCGCGCGCACACCCCCCGCGCCGGACCCGCACCUCGGCGGGCGCCACACACUCGGCAGCCCGAGCCACGGUAGCCGCAGCGGGAUGGAGGCGGCGCGCACGGAGCGCCCCACAGGCUGGCCAGGGGCGCCCCUCGCCCGGACAGGGCUUCUACUCCUGUCAACGUGGGUCCUGGCCGGUGCCGAGAUCACUUGGGGCUCAACGGGCGGUCCCGGGCGCCUCACGGCUUCUCGGUCACCGGCGUUGCCUCCUCUGUUGCCGCGGGCAGUGGCGAACCAGUGGCCGGAGGAGCUGGCGACGGCGCGGAGACCCGCCGCGCUGGGGCGCCGGUCCAGACCAGAGCUGCCGCCCCAGUCUCGGGGCAUUGAGAUGCAGGUUGGAGCCGAGGGUACGUCGCCUGAAGGCGCGCGGUGGGUCCAGGGCAUCCCGGCUCCUGGCAAGCCUGGCGGCACGAGGAGGAGUCGCCGGGCACAGCCCCCCAGCGCCCUGGAGCGCGGGGACGCCCGGGCUACGGCUUCUGCCGAAGGUUCCAAAGGAAGCCGCCCUCUGGCUAAAGGUUCCCGGGAGGAGGUGAAGGCCCCUCGGACUGGGGGAUCAGCGGCUGAAGAGCUCCGACUGCCUAGCACUUCUUUCGCGCUGACCGGGG